Molecule: ribosomal RNA, 497 nt
Filed under: uncultured bacterium
Lineage: Bacteria
Description: partial 16S ribosomal RNA
Rfam family: Bacterial small subunit ribosomal RNA
Source: RNAcentral
GAUGAACGCUGGCGGCGUGCCUAAUACAUGCAAGUCGAGCGAACAGACGAGGAGCUUGCUCCUCUGACGUUAGCGGCGGACGGGUGAGUAACACGUGGAUAACCUACCUCUAAGACUGGGAUAACUUCGGGAAACCGGAGCUAAUACCGGAUAAUAUAUUGAACCGCAUGGUUCAAUAGUGAAAGACGGUUUUGCUGUCACUUAUAGAUGGAUCCGCGCCGCAUUAGCUAGUUGGUAAGGUAACGGCUUACCAAGGCAACGAUGCGUAGCCGACCUGAGAGGGUGAACGGCCACACUGGAACUGAGACACGGUCCAGACUCCUACGGGAGGCAGCAGUAGGGAAUCUUCCGCAAUGGGCGAAAGCUUGACGGAGCAACGCCGCGUGAGUGAUGAAGGUCUUCGGAUCGGAAAACUCUGUUAUUAGGGAAGAACAAAUGUGUAAGUAACUAUGCACGUCUUGACGGUACCUAAUCAGAAAGCCACGGCUAACUACGUG